This 84-nucleotide transfer RNA is filed under the name Candidatus Uhrbacteria bacterium. RNAcentral describes it as "tRNA-Leu". It matches the Rfam family "tRNA". Rfam says of the family: Transfer RNA (tRNA) molecules are approximately 80 nucleotides in length. Their secondary structure includes four short double-helical elements and three loops (D, anti-codon, and T loops). The record is from RNAcentral. Lineage: Bacteria; Candidatus Uhriibacteriota.
GCGGACGUGGCGAAAUUGGUACACGCAUCACCUUGAGGGGGUGACGCCCGCAAGGGCUUGAGGGUUCAAAUCCCUCCGUCCGCA